UCGAGGAUCUUCGGCAAUGGGCGCAAGCCUGACCGAGCGACGCCGCGUGUGCGAUGAAGGCCUUCGGGUUGUAAAGCACUGUCGGGGGGGAGAAAGGUCCGCAAGGGCUUGAUCGACCCCCGGAGGAAGCACGGGCUAAGUUCGUGCCAGCAGCCGCGGUAAGACGAACCGUGCGAACGUUAUUCGGAAUCACUGGGCUUAAAGGGCGCGUAGGCGGACCGCCAAGUCAGGGGUGAAAGCCUCCGGCUCAACCGGAGAAGAGCCUUUGAUACUGGCGGCCUAGAGGGAGGUAGGGGCCUGCGGAACUUCCGGUGGAGCGGUGAAAUGCGUAGAUAUCGGAAGGAACGCCGGGGGCGAAAGCGGCGGGCUGGACCUCUACUGACGCUGAGGCGCGAAAGCCAGGGGAGCAAACGG
RNAcentral lists this ribosomal RNA (414 nucleotides) under uncultured bacterium. RNAcentral's name for it is "bacterial SSU rRNA". It matches the Rfam family "Bacterial small subunit ribosomal RNA", at positions 355 to 775 of the family's 1533-position model. The record is from RNAcentral.